AUGCACGCUGGCGGCGUGCCUAAUCCAUGCAAGUCGAGCGAACGGACGAGAAGCUUGCUUCUCUGAUGUUAGCGGCGGACGGGUGAGUAACACGUGGAUAACCUACCUAUAAGACUGGGAUAACCUCGGGAAACCGGAGCUAAUACCGGAUAAUAUUUUGAACCGCAUGGUUCAAAAGUGAAAGACGGUCUUGCUGUCACUUAUAGAUGGAUCCGCGCUGCAUUAGCUAGUUGGUAAGGUAACGGCUUACCAAGGCAACGAUGCAUAGCCGACCUGAGAGGGUGAUCGGCCACACUGGAACUGAGACACGGUCCAGACUCCUACGGGAGGCAGCAGUAGGGAAUCUUCCGCAAUGGGCGAAAGCCUGACGGAGCAACGCCGCGUGAGUGAUGAAGGUCUUCGGAUCGUAAAACUCUGUUAUUAGGGAAGAACAUAUGUGUAAGUAACUGUGCACAUCUUGACGGUACCUAAUCAGAAAGCCACGGCUAACUACGUG
Molecule: ribosomal RNA, 496 nt
Filed under: uncultured bacterium
Lineage: Bacteria
Description: partial 16S ribosomal RNA
Rfam family: Bacterial small subunit ribosomal RNA
Source: RNAcentral